RNAcentral lists this long non-coding RNA (244 nucleotides) under Carica papaya (papaya). RNAcentral's name for it is "long non-coding RNA (CPAP_LNC010935)". Lineage: Eukaryota; Viridiplantae; Streptophyta; Magnoliopsida; Brassicales; Caricaceae. The record is from RNAcentral.
CACGGUACACGGGGCACCGCACGCGCAAGCCUAUUACGUGUAGUCCACAGGCACACAGGGCCUAUCCGUGAAGACCUAUUGCACAAAUGGCGUGCGCAGAGUAUGCGGCACCAAUCCAUUCACGAAGUGACACACGGAUGGACCACUUACGCACUAUAGAUGCGCACGUAGUCCUGACCCUGCACCGUGCGUGCGGAUUAGACAUGCACACUGUGCACACAUCCCGUGCAGGCAACAGUUUUCU